UUGCAACAAUACUUUAGGAGUAAUCAAUUACUGUACUAUUUAAUAUUUUGUUUUGUUUUCAACUUAUUUUACUCCGGAUAGCACUUUUUAAUACAUUUUAUACCGGAACUCUUUUGAAAAGAAGAUUUUCUUUUUAAAAUCGGCCAUUUUUAGAAGCGAUCUACACUUUUCUGCUUUUUGCUAAAAGGCUUUCACAUAUUCGUAACCAUGGUUCCAAGAGUCUAAGUUUAAAGUCUUCUACCAUUUUAUUCUGAGCUACUCCUUUUGGCUCAAAAGAUAGUGAGUUGUCCAAUGAUGAAAUAGAGAAAGUAAACAGUACCCGGGACCUAUCGGAUGUUGGUGAUGAAGAUUUGUCUGACGCAGUUGAAGAGUAUGCCCAUUUGCGAAAAAUGAUGAAACUCCUCAGGACCUUCUCAAUUGUCUACACCAAGGUCUUCAUUAGCAACAACAGAAUGAUCAGUCCUAGUAAACAGCAAAUGUUCCACCAUUUCCUGAUCCUAGGAGAGAAGCCAAACAUCAGAGGCGGCCAUUGGAUUAUUUCAACGACAUCUUUAUAGAUAAUCUGUGUUCGGACAGUUGUGUAUCAAUCCAACCUGUACUGUCCUCUAACAUGACAUCAACAGUCCUUUAGCACUGGAUAAAGAUUAUUCCUGGAAAUUAGAUUUUACAUAAACAUUGUAAAAAAUUCCUAAAUGCCGAGUGUAUUGGAGCCUUGCCACUAAGUGUGUUACGGUCACAUACGUCAUGACCAUCAACAGAUUCAAGCGGAUAAAGAAUAAUCUGCACCUGUCGUACAAUGUCCUCAACAGGACAAACAAUCCAUUAACACUGAAUAAGAAUGAGCUAAAACAUUUCCUAGAAAUUGUGUGUAUUACAUAAAGAUUCUAAAAACUCUUAGAUGCAGAGUGUAUUGGAGCCUUGCCACCAAGUGUGUUACGGUCACAUACGUCAUGACCAUCAACAGAUUCAAGCGGAAUAAGAAUAAUCUGAACCUGUCAAACAAUGUCCUCAGCAGGACAUAAAUCCACUAGUACUGGAUAAAGAUGAACAAAAACAUCUCCUGGAAAUUGUGUUUUACAUAAACAUUGUAAAAAAAAUUCUAGAUACCAAAGAUCUUGGUGCCU
This is a long non-coding RNA of Physella acuta, 1124 nucleotides long. RefSeq lists it as uncharacterized. NCBI's taxonomy places the organism in Eukaryota, Metazoa, Mollusca, Gastropoda, Physidae. The record is from RefSeq and is a predicted model, not a curated record.